Molecule: ribosomal RNA, 801 nt
Filed under: Flavobacterium piscis
Lineage: Bacteria; Pseudomonadati; Bacteroidota; Flavobacteriia; Flavobacteriales; Flavobacteriaceae
Description: bacterial SSU rRNA
Rfam family: Bacterial small subunit ribosomal RNA
Source: RNAcentral
GGAGAUAGAGACCGGCGCACGGGUGCGUAACGCGUAUGCAAUCUACCUUUUACAGAGGGAUAGCCCAGAGAAAUUUGGAUUAAUACCUCAUAGUAUAUAGACCUGGCAUCAGGAUNNUAUUAAAGUCACAACGGUAAAAGAUGAGCAUGCGUCCCAUUAGCUAGUUGGUAAGGUAACGGCUUACCAAGGCUACGAUGGGUAGGGGUCCUGAGAGGGAGAUCCCCCACACUGGUACUGAGACACGGACCAGACUCCUACGGGAGGCAGCAGUGAGGAAUAUUGGACAAUGGGCGCAAGCCUGAUCCAGCCAUGCCGCGUGCAGGAUGACGGUCCUAUGGAUUGUAAACUGCUUUUAUACGAGAAGAAACACUCCUUCGUGAAGGAGCUUGACGGUAUCGUAAGAAUAAGGAUCGGCUAACUCCGUGCCAGCAGCCGCGGUAAUACGGAGGAUCCAAGCGUUAUCCGGAAUCAUUGGGUUUAAAGGGUCCGUAGGCGGUUUGGUAAGUCAGUGGUGAAAGCCCAUCGCUCAACGGUGGAACGGCCAUUGAUACUGCCAGACUUGAAUUAUUAGGAAGUAACUAGAAUAUGUAGUGUAGCGGUGAAAUGCUUAGAGAUUACAUGGAAUACCAAUUGCGAAGGCAGGUUACUACUAAUUGAUUGACGCUGAUGGACGAAAGCGUGAGUAGCGAACAGGAUUAGAUACCCUGGUAGUCCACGCCGUANACGAUGGAUACUAGCUGUUGGGAGCAAUCUCAGUGGCUAAGCGAAAGUGAUAAGUAUCCCACCUGGGGAGUACGUUCG